This 484-nucleotide ribosomal RNA is filed under the name uncultured bacterium. Its description in RNAcentral is "partial 16S ribosomal RNA". It matches the Rfam family "Bacterial small subunit ribosomal RNA", at positions 28 to 507 of the family's 1533-position model. The record is from RNAcentral.
AUUGAACGCUGGCGGCAUGCUUUACACAUGCAAGUCGAACGGCAGCGCGGGCUUCGGCCUGGCGGCGAGUGGCGAACGGGUGAGUAAUGCAUCGGGACGUGCCCAGUAGUGGGGGAUAGCCCGGCGAAAGCCGGAUUAAUACCGCAUACGACCUGAGGGUGAAAGCGGGGGACCGAAAGGCCUCGCGCUAUUGGAGCGGCCGAUGUCGGAUUAGCUAGUUGGUGGGGUAAAGGCUUACCAAGGCGACGAUCCGUAGCUGGUCUGAGAGGACGACCAGCCACACUGGGACUGAGACACGGCCCAGACUCCUACGGGAGGCAGCAGUGGGGAAUUUUGGACAAAGGGGGCAACCCUGAUCCAGCCAUGCCGCGUGCGGGAAGAAGGCCUUCGGGUUGUAAACCGCUUUUGUUCGGGAAGAAAUCCUCUGGGCUAAUACCCCGGGGGGAUGACGGUACCGGAAGAAUAAGCACCGGCUAACUACGUG